Long non-coding RNA from Amyelois transitella, 379 nucleotides. RefSeq lists it as uncharacterized. NCBI's taxonomy places the organism in Eukaryota, Metazoa, Arthropoda, Insecta, Lepidoptera, Pyralidae. The transcript is spliced from 2 exons. The record is from RefSeq and is a predicted model, not a curated record.
GUAAAGCUGCAACAAGAUUAAAUGUUUUACACCUGACAAAGACUAAGUUUGUAGAUUACCUCCUUUGUGGACAUCACAAGUAGUGUAUUUUUCUAUUUAGAAACAAGUAUAAAAGUAGUUUCUGCGGCACUACAUUUGUCCAAAUAAUAGUCUAUCACUUUCUGUGAUUCCAGUUGCAAUCUGAUUUGAAAAAUUUCGAAAUUACUUCGCUCUAAAUAAAAUUAACUAACCGUCCUGUUAGGGCCGACUUUAUCCAGAAUAACAUAUCGAUCGGGCAACUCCUCGUCAAAGGCCAGCUCAUUUGGAUGGAAACUGAGGUCGGUCCGAUGGAUGUUCCUCCCAUUGUCGCUGGUGUAAUACAACUUCUUGUUGGUAGAGU